Molecule: ribosomal RNA, 584 nt
Filed under: uncultured bacterium
Lineage: Bacteria
Description: bacterial SSU rRNA
Rfam family: Bacterial small subunit ribosomal RNA
Source: RNAcentral
ACGGGUGAGUAACACGUGGGCAACCUGCCCUUGAGACUGGGAUAACUUCGGGAAACCGGAGCUAAUACCGGAUAAUAUAAGGAACCUCCUGGUUCCUUGUUGAAAGAUGGUUUCGGCUAUCACUUAAGGAUGGGCCCGCGGCGCAUUAGCUAGUUGGUGAGGUAACGGCUCACCAAGGCGACGAUGCGUAGCCGACCUGAGAGGGUGAUCGGCCACACUGGGACUGAGACACGGCCCAGACUCCUACGGGAGGCAGCAGUAGGGAAUCUUCCACAAUGGACGAAAGUCUGAUGGAGCAACGCCGCGUGAGUGAUGAAGGCCUUCGGGUCGUAAAGCUCUGUUGUUAGGGAAGAACAAGUGCGAGAGUAACUGCUCGCACCUUGACGGUACCUAACCAGAAAGCCACGGCUAACUACGUGCCAGCAGCCGCGGUAAUACGUAGGUGGCAAGCGUUAUCCGGAAUUAUUGGGCGUAAGGCGCGCGCAGGUGGUUUCUUAAGUCUGAUGUGAAAGCCCACGGCUCAACCGUGGAGGGUCAUUGGAAACUGGGGAACUUGAGUGCAGAAGAGGAAAGUGGAAUUCCAA